Molecule: ribosomal RNA, 207 nt
Filed under: uncultured bacterium
Lineage: Bacteria
Description: partial 16S ribosomal RNA
Rfam family: Bacterial small subunit ribosomal RNA
Source: RNAcentral
CGCGUAGGCGGCCGUUUAAGUCAGAUGUGAAAGCCCGGGGCUCAACCCCGGAAGUGCAUUUGAUACUAUUCGGCUUGAGUAUGGGAGAGGGAAGUGGAAUUCCUGGUGUAGAGGUGAAAUUCGUAGAUAUCAGGAGGAACACCGGUGGCGAAGGCGACUUCCUGGACCAAUACUGACGCUGAGGCGCGAAGGCGUGGGUAGCAAACA